RNAcentral lists this long non-coding RNA (265 nucleotides) under Hordeum vulgare. RNAcentral describes it as "long non-coding RNA (HVUL_LNC011180)". Lineage: Eukaryota; Viridiplantae; Streptophyta; Magnoliopsida; Poales; Poaceae. The record is from RNAcentral.
GACAAGUCAAUUACCAGGGCAGGCAGAAACAUAGCAGGGGUAGGGUCGUACCUGGCCGCCGGUGAGGCACCGGAGGAGGAUGCAGGCGAGGGAGGAGGCCAGCAGCUGGGCCACCACGUACAGCACCGCCCGGAACGCCGUGAUGUGCCCGCGCGCCAGCAGCGCCACCGUCACCGCCGGGUUGAGGUGCCCGCCGGAGACAUGGAACCCCGCCGUCACCAACACCCCCGCCGCCAGCGCCUGCGCAAGCGCAACCCCGGCCAAC